Molecule: ribosomal RNA, 253 nt
Filed under: uncultured bacterium
Lineage: Bacteria
Description: partial 16S ribosomal RNA
Rfam family: Bacterial small subunit ribosomal RNA
Source: RNAcentral
UACGUAGGGUGCGAGCGUUGUCCGGAAUUAUUGGGCGUAAAGGGCUCGUAGGCGGUUUGUCGCGUCGGGAGUGAAAACCAGGUGCUUAACACCUGGCUUGCUUUCGAUACGGGCAGACUAGAGGCAUGCAGGGGAGAACGGAAUUCCUGGUGUAGCGGUGGAAUGCGCAGAUAUCAGGAGGAACACCGAUGGCGAAGGCAGAUCUCUGGGCCGUAACUGACGCUGAGGAGCGAAAGCGUGGGGAGCGAACAGG